RNAcentral lists this ribosomal RNA (446 nucleotides) under uncultured bacterium. RNAcentral describes it as "bacterial SSU rRNA". It matches the Rfam family "Bacterial small subunit ribosomal RNA", at positions 329 to 792 of the family's 1533-position model. The record is from RNAcentral.
UCCCAGACUCCUACGGGAGGCAGCAGUGGGGAAUAUUGGACAAUGGGGGGAACCCUGAUCCAGCGACGCCGCGUGAGUGAAGAAGUAUUUCGGUAUGUAAAGCUCUAUCAGCAGGGAAGAUAAUGACGGUACCUGAGUAAGAAGCCCCGGCUAACUACGUGCCAGCAGCCGCGGUAAUACGUAGGGGGCAAGCGUUAUCCGGAUUUACUGGGUGUAAAGGGAGCGUAGACGGCAUGGCAAGUCUGAAGUGAAAGCCCGGGGCUCAACCGCGGGACUGCUUUGGAAACUGUUAAGCUGGAGUGCAGGAGAGGUAAGUGGAAUUCCUAGUGUAGCGGUGAAAUGCGUAGAUAUUAGGAGGAACACCAGUGGCGAAGGCGGCUUACUGGACUGUAACUGACGUUGAGGCUCGAAAGCGUGGGGAGCAAACAGGAUUAGAUACCCCCGUA